RNAcentral lists this non-coding RNA (30 nucleotides) under Rattus norvegicus (Norway rat). Lineage: Eukaryota; Metazoa; Chordata; Mammalia; Rodentia; Muridae. The record is from RNAcentral.
AUAACCAGAGAAACACCUGGUCUGCCGGUC